CCUACGGGAGGCAGCAGUAGGGAAUCUUCCACAAUGGGCGAAAGCCUGAUGGAGCAACGCAGCGUGGGUGAAGAAGGUCUUCGGAUCGUAAAACCCUGUUGUUAGAGAAGAAAGUGCGUGAGAGUAACUGUUCACGUAUCGACGGUAUCUAACCAGAAAGCCACGGCUAACUACGUGCCAGCAGCCGCGGUAAUACGUAGGUGGCAAGCGUUAUCCGGAUUUAUUGGGCGUAAAGGGAUCGUAGGCGGUCUUUUAAGUCUGAUGUGAAAGCCUUCGGCUUAACCGGAGUAGUGCAUUGGAUACUAGGAGACUUGAGUGCAGAAGAGGAGAGUGGAAUUCCAUGUGGAGCGGUGAAAUGCGUAGAUAUAUGGAAGAACACCAGUGGCGAAGGCGGCUCACUGGUCUUUAACUGACGCUGAGGGUCGAAAGCGUGGGUAGCAAACAGGAUUAGAUACCCGAGUAGUC
RNAcentral lists this ribosomal RNA (465 nucleotides) under uncultured bacterium. RNAcentral describes it as "partial 16S ribosomal RNA". It matches the Rfam family "Bacterial small subunit ribosomal RNA", at positions 338 to 795 of the family's 1533-position model. The record is from RNAcentral.